AUUCUGCCCGUGCAGGGAAGGAUGAGAAGCUUCGACCAGGUUCGAUUCGAGCGCAGCGAGAAAGCGUUGCCGCAGGCAACGACCCGAAGGGUGAG
RNAcentral lists this small RNA (95 nucleotides) under Klebsiella ornithinolytica. RNAcentral's name for it is "Raoultella ornithinolytica partial RtT sRNA". It matches the Rfam family "RtT RNA", at positions 1 to 95 of the family's 130-position model. Rfam says of the family: This family represents a bacterial cis-regulatory element known as RtT RNA. The exact function of RtT is unknown although it is thought that it may be involved in changing the cellular response in relation to amino acid starvation. Lineage: Bacteria; Pseudomonadati; Pseudomonadota; Gammaproteobacteria; Enterobacterales; Enterobacteriaceae. The record is from RNAcentral.